CCAGGCCUCAUUUAUCCCUUCCACUUUUUGACUUCUUACAUGCUAUUAGGUUGAGAAAUUUUUCUGAUGUCGUCUGUGAUCAUGUGAUGAUCCCCUCAUUGACAUGUUACCAAAACUUGAGUAAGGCAGAAAAAAAUAUCACAGGAUUUUAGAGCAAACUGGCCCCUCAUUGGAUACAGCAAAAAUGAAGUUGUCAUCUCUAUGCUCUAACAUGAAGAAAGCAAGGUUCCCUAUGACUUUACUGGAGGAAUUGCAACUAACAAUAAGAUUAAUAGAAGAUAAGUGAUUACAAUGAGGAGCAACUGUUAACUGAUACUGCCCAUGCAUGUGUGUGUGUAGCUGUAUUAUUGUGUGAUUUUCUUUUUUAUUAUUAUUACAUGAAAUAUUGUAUGUAUUAUCUAUUGUUGUGAUUGAAUCAAUGGGGAUUUGGUUUAUUUUAUAAUAGAAGAAUGUUUUGGUUUAAUCACUGCCAA
Amphimedon queenslandica is the source of this 473-nucleotide long non-coding RNA. RefSeq lists it as uncharacterized. Lineage: Eukaryota; Metazoa; Porifera; Demospongiae; Haplosclerida; Niphatidae. The record is from RefSeq and is a predicted model, not a curated record. The transcript is spliced from 2 exons.